UUGACCUCAAAUCAGGUGGGACUACCCGCUGAACUUAAGCAUAUCAAUAAGCGGAGGAAAAGAAACUAACAAGGAUUCCCCUAGUAACUGCGAGUGAAGCGGGAAAAGCUCAAAUUUAAAAUCUGGCGACUUCGUCGUCCGAGUUGUAAUUUAGAGAAGCGUUUUCCGCGUCGGACCGUGUACAAGUCUCCUGGAACGGAGCGUCAUAGAGGGUGAGAAUCCCGUCUUUGACACGGACCCCGGUGCUCUGUGAUACGCUCUCGAAGAGUCGAGUUGUUUGGGAAUGCAGCUCAAAAUGGGUGGUGAACUCCAUCUAAAGCUAAAUAUUGGCGAGAGACCGAUAGCGAACAAGUACCGUGAGGGAAAGAUGAAAAGCACUUUGGAAAGAGAGUGAAACAGUACGUGAAAUUGCUGAAAGGGAAACGCUUGAAGUCAGUCGCGUCUGCCGGGAUUCAGCCUUAUGGUGUACUUUCCGGUGGACGGGCCAGCAUCACUUUUGAUCGCCGAAAAAGGGCAGGGGGAAUGUGGCACCUCCGGGUGUGUUAUAGCCCUCUGUCGUAUACGGUGGUCGGGAGUGAGGACCGCCUUUGUAGGAUGCUGGCGUAAUGGCUUUAAACGACCCGUCUUGAAACACGGACCAAGGAGUCUAACAUGCCCGCGAGUGUUCGGGUGGAAAACCCGUGCGCGUAAUGAAAGUGAAAGUUGGGAAGGCUGUCGUGGCCUGCACCGACGCCCGGACUUGAGAUUUAUCGACGGUUCUGCGG
This 764-nucleotide ribosomal RNA is filed under the name Vararia dussii. RNAcentral's name for it is "LSU rRNA". It matches the Rfam family "Eukaryotic large subunit ribosomal RNA", at positions 1 to 795 of the family's 3401-position model. The record is from RNAcentral. Lineage: Eukaryota; Fungi; Basidiomycota; Agaricomycetes; Russulales; Lachnocladiaceae.